UUACUAGAGCAAAGGAUAGACAGCGCCCGCGGAGCUCGCUCCCGGGGCCACCCUACUCCGGUAGGGUUUAGAGUCGUCGGGCCUCUCGGAGAAGCUCGGUCCUGAACUCCACCCUUGAAUAAACUACCUUUGUUGCUUUGGCGGGCCGCCUCGUGCCAGCGGCUUCGGCUGUUGAGUGCCCGCCAGAGGACCACAACUCUUGUUUUUAGUGAUGUCUGAGUACUAUAUAAUAGUUAAAACUUUCAACAACGGAUCUCUUGGUUCUGGCAUCGAUGAAGAACGCAGCGAAAUGCGAUAAGUAAUGUGAAUUGCAGAAUUCAGUGAAUCAUCGAAUCUUUGAACGCACAUUGCGCCCUCUGGUAUUCCGGGGGGCAUGCCUGUUCGAGCGUCAUUAUAACCACUCAAGCUCUCGCUUGGUAUUGGGGUUCGCGGUUUCGCGGCUCCUAAAAUCAGUGGCGGUGCCUAUCGGCUCUACGCGUAGUAAUACUCCUCGCGAUUGAGUCCGGUAGGUCUACUUGCCAGCAACCCCUAAUUUUUUAAGGUUGACCUCGGAUCAGGUAGGGAUACCCGCUGAACUUAAGCAUAUCAAUAAGCGGAGGAAAAGAAACCAACAGGGAUUACCUCAGUAACGGCGAGUGAAGCGGUAACAGCUCAAAUUUGAAAGCUGGCUCUUUUAGGGUCCGCGUUGUAAUUUGUAGAGA
This 701-nucleotide ribosomal RNA is filed under the name fungal sp. Its description in RNAcentral is "eukaryotic LSU rRNA". The stretch from base 238 to 391 matches the Rfam family "5.8S ribosomal RNA". The record is from RNAcentral. Lineage: Eukaryota; Fungi.